Molecule: long non-coding RNA, 680 nt
Organism: Helianthus annuus (common sunflower)
Lineage: Eukaryota; Viridiplantae; Streptophyta; Magnoliopsida; Asterales; Asteraceae
Exons: 3
Source: RefSeq, a predicted model, not a curated record
AUUUAUAUUAAAUUUAUUUUAAGUUAAUAGUGUACUGGUUAUAACUAAUAUCAAAUCUUUACUAAUACUUGAUUUCUUUUUAUGAUGGUUGACUUUGCGAGAACUAACGGAGCAUUAGUGUCAAGAAUGGGCUGAGAUUCGAAUUCAGUCGGUUUUUCGCUCUUUUUUGACAAAAAGGGAUCAAGAUCGGGACCGUCCAUUUGACUUCACACGGAUCACCAUCUGCUUUCUCUCUCAAUGCUCACACAUCUGACAAAAAGGGAUGCCAAAAGCAGGGAAGUACAAUCUACAGGAAAAAGCAACACUUUACUUUUGUGUGAAAGACAGCUUGCUUGCUGCAGUCUCUAUAAUAUAUCAACACUCUUCCAUACACUGUUUGAAAGACAGCACUGCUUCCUUCAGUCUCUAUAAAUAAUCCAGAGAUAUCUACACUCUACUCACACUUUACAAACUCUCAACUACACUCAACUGAAAUUAAUAUAUCAACUCUUUGCAUUCGGAUCUUGCGUUGUUUCUCGGCUCUCACAUCAAGGUUUUAAAAUUUUUGUCGGCUUUUCACAUCUCCCUCUUGCAUUGUUGUAAGUUCUUUCAAAUAUGACAUAGUGAACGGAUAAAUUGUUUUUGUGGUUUUUAUUUUACUUUGUUCUGUUAUAUUUUGAUCUUUUCCUUCAUUGUUGGGA